This is a long non-coding RNA of Aethalodelphis obliquidens (Pacific white-sided dolphin), 1973 nucleotides long. RefSeq lists it as uncharacterized. NCBI's taxonomy places the organism in Eukaryota, Metazoa, Chordata, Mammalia, Artiodactyla, Delphinidae. The transcript has 2 exons. The record is from RefSeq and is a predicted model, not a curated record.
GCCUGCCCGCGGCGCGGGAGGGCCCGGCGCCCGGAGGCGCGGCCGCUGGGCCCGGGCGGGCGGGGUCCGAGGGCUCCGCGGAGAGGGGGGACGGCGCGGAAGUCGGGGCUCCCUUUCACCCCCUCCUGCCCAACGGGCCCGCGCCCGCCCUGCCUCCGGAGCUCCGGGGUGAACUCGCGCUCAGCUUCCGUCGUCUUCCAGUCCGCAAAGUUGGCCCCGCGGGUCCCGACGGGCCUGCCCUCUGGAGGGUCGCAGAGGGUCUCCUCCCGGCGGUCGCAUCGGCCCAGGAGGUCCCCGGGGCAGACGCACAACUGCGGAAAAUCGCCUGCGGGGACGGUCUCUUCCUUCCUCCCCAAGUUCUGGGCUCUCGGAAGCGGGCCCGGCCCGGCCCAGCGCGGGGGGCACUCCGACAAGUUGUGGGGCGGAGGCGGUGCGGGGACGCGCGGGGCCGGGGCCGGGGGGGAGGGUGGCCGCCGCCAGCCGAGAGCGACCGGAGGCCAUUCGCGCGGGGCCCGGGGGCACGUCCCCGCUCCUCCCCUCGUCCCGCCCGCCGCGCUCCGAGCUCGUGCCCGAGCAGAGGGGCCCGCCGCUCGCCGCCGGCCUCCCAGGGACGCGAACCCGGGGGCGGGGGAGGAGACUGCCCGAAGUGUUUUCUCGCUGUUGGUUUUGCUUUGCUUCGUUUCUAGGGCUGACUCCACCUGCCGCUAAGUAGGGGCUUCUCAAACUCUGGCGCGCGUCAGCGUCAUCUGGCGGGGGUGUGCGAGCUCACGGCUGGGCCCUACCCUAGGGCUUCGGAGUCAGUAGGCCCGGGAUGGGCCCCAAAGUAUUUCUAGCAAGAACGCCCCCUUGCUGGGAUCUUUCGGGCCCGCCCGUGCCCGGCGUGGAAUGCCGUGACGGCAUCUCAACUUGGGGACUUACAAGAGGCCCCAGAUACACCUGGCUUGUCUGCCUGUUGGAACAACAUCAAGAUUUGGGGAAGAAGAUGGCAACUCCCUGGCGGUCCAGUGGUUAGGACUCCGCGCUCUCCCUGCGGAGAUGUCUUGUGCGCAGCCCCAAUGGAGGAAUCGUAGCCUGCUGUGACACCACUGUGCACAUCUGCUACGUAUGCUCCAGACCCCUCACCCGACAACAUGUAACUCCAUCUGCUUUCACAUCCUCCUGUCUAGUCCCCUUCAGAUGACAUUUUCUGCACAGCUCCCCUAGGAACCCCCUGGGCUGAUGUGAGCCGAGGCAGCAGGGCCCCAGGCCUGCCUGAGACAGGGCAAUCCUACCUGGUUUACACACUGGGCUUCGCCAAGCUUUGGUUUGGGCAAAGCAUUCCACAGCAGAACCACAAUGUCACCAUCACCAUCCUCACCAUCAUAUUAAACCAGCACUCUAGAGGACGCUCUUCCCUUGAAAGCACCGGUGCUCUCCUCGUUGCCUGGAGUGUCCUGCCCCCCACCUCCACUUACUGAACUUGCCUGGUCUUUAAGGCAAUUUCCAAAUGUUUGCCUCCUUUGGGACGUUUUUCGGGAGCAGCCCAGUUAGUAAUGAUGACUUCCGCUCAGAGGCAGAUUUAUGAUGAAACUACAGAAGCUUGAGUAUUCUCGGGCCCCUUCUGAUGUGUUCACGUAGUCAUGCAAUGAAAUAAAAUACAUAUUUUAUGGCAAGAUAAGAAAAGUUUAAACAUGCAUUUUUUUUCUCUGCUCAUGUGGGCCUCCUCACUACCCCUUAGAGUGUAUUUCGCCCCUGCGGUAACCAGACCUCCUUAGGACAUACCAUGCCUCUUAAUCUCACAAAUCCACUACUUGCUUUGUAUAUGCAGAUCAGGAUUGUGUAAACUGUAAAUAAUACAUCAUUUGACGUUUAACCGUUUGUCUCAAAAACUUAUAGGACUGUGCUUUGACAGUCCUCAGAGCUUUCUGAAAGAUUGUCUCCCCAAUUAAAAUCGUCAGGUUGGCUUGAAUAACAUUUUCCAUUUCUUUAUUAGA